CACUCCGGCGAGCCCUAAGCUCCCUUGCCCUGGGCACCGGGGCCACCGAGCUCCGGCAGAGCGCACUUACCAUCAAACGAAUUGAGACCAGAAACCCGGCGCGGUGGGUUUCCCGGGAAGCCUGGCCAAGGGCCAAGGCCAGCCGGGCCUGGGGGUAGCUUAGUGAGCUAAACAGGCCAACCUUGGUGCACCUCUAGCAAACACAUCCACCUUUAACAAACUGGCCAGGUCUUUGGCUGGCCCGGGUCUCUCAGGGUCUGUGUGAAAACGGCACCCAUUAACUUGCCUGGGCUUGUUUCCCCAUCGAAAAUUCGGAAGGGCAAUAUUCUCCGCGUGAGUUGUAAAAAUCCUGAUUAGAAACUGUCAAUGCCUGUGUAAAUGUGAGGCAUAAUUGCCACUCACCAGCAGCCGGCUCCAUCAGCGUCUGCACAGCUCACGAACAGGACAGAGGCAAGAUGAGUGUUCAGAUAUAUGCACAGGUAUAUCACACGUAUGUAGAUGUGUCUGUCUCUCUAGGCUCAGAUGCACACACGUGUGCAUGUACAUGCGCACAGAUAUGGGAUUCUCUCGUGUAGAUGUGUCUGUGAACACUCCGCAUGCCGACGCUACUGUUUGCGUCUGAAGGCAGAAUGUGCACGCCGUUCAGCUGACUGUUUCUCUCAAACUGAGUCAGUGCCACCUGGGGAAGUAGGAUCUCAGGUGCUGUUCCUGGGUGUGAGAAAGCCCGCAUCCGGUCAGUGCUUCGGCGCCCUGGAGCUCCUUUAUCUCUCAUCAGACGGCCGGUGGCCAGCUCCAGUUUCAAUAGGGACCAGGAUCCCCGAGUCGGCUGGAGGGAGCAAGGGUGGAGAGAAGGAAGAGGUGGAGGGCACUCCGGCACGCGAAGCCUGGGGACCUCACUUCCCUGGUCUGUCGCCUUUCCUCUUCCUCUCCAGGUUGCGUCUCUGUAGAAGAUUAAAGAGGGGCCCGGAUCUUCCAUUCGGCUCUGGAAAGGCGGCCCAGGCCCCUACUCCACAAGCCAUCAUGAAGGGAGGGGAACCGAAGAUUCGUCAUCAGCUUGGGAAAACGUGCAGCUGCAGCACUGGCCGGGGGCCCCAGGGCACAACCUGGUGUUCAUGGGAGGCGCGCAGCGUGGCUGCUGGAGACCCUGCUAUCUGCUCAUGCAGUUGCCAGGCUCGUCUUCCCCUUCUUUCUUUGGAAUAG
This 1200-nucleotide long non-coding RNA is filed under the name Capra hircus (goat). RNAcentral's name for it is "lncRNA (ENSCHIG00010006920.1)". The record is from RNAcentral. Lineage: Eukaryota; Metazoa; Chordata; Mammalia; Artiodactyla; Bovidae.